Python bivittatus (Burmese python) is the source of this 2421-nucleotide non-coding RNA. NCBI's taxonomy places the organism in Eukaryota, Metazoa, Chordata, Lepidosauria, Squamata, Pythonidae. The record is from RefSeq and is a predicted model, not a curated record.
UAAGACAUCCAGGCGGCCUUCACCCAAGGCUCUCAAGAUACCCAAGUGAGAAGACCCAGCGCACGACUUGGGGGCAGUUCUAAUUUGGAGCUCCUUCUAAGAAAGCAAAAAUCAUCUGAGACACACAGACGGAAAAUGGGACAACCCUUCCUAAUAAUGAGGACAUGCUGUAGGAAUAUGCUGGCAAGAUGGGUUGCCAUGGCAAUCCUUUGAAGAUGCAGACCCAAAAAACCUCAAGUGAAGCUCCUCCCUCUGGGAUCUCCCUCAGCUGCCGUGAGCAAACGGUGAGCGAAGGAAGGAGAAGACUCAAGAAAUGUGGGGACCGGUUAUGCGUCCAGCGCUACAGCACUGGUUUAGAGUUAGGGCCCCAACUGAGGAGAUGGGUUACGAUGUGGGAGCACCGACAGCUUCAUACCUUCUGGUCUAGGGAGGACCAGAAUUGGUGGCCUCCGACCCCAAUUCAAAGAGCAGCUUUAAACCACCUGGGAGCAGAUCUGCCGAAGGACCAUCUUCACCUGUGCAACAGACUCAUGCAUACAGCGCAUUCAGCUGAACACCUCUCUGCGCCAUCCUUUUGCCCCUGCCUCUUGCAGACGGUCUGAUCUCGAAAAAGCUGCACUUCUUUCCGUUUCCCAAAGCAAGGAUUUGAAAUUUUAGCAAGCCUUUGGGGCAAGUCUGAGUUUCAGGAGUCACCAAGCGACAAUGGCUUCCAGUUUGGACAAAGUGGCAACGUUCUGUAUGAGGGGGAAGAGGGUUUGUUAACUUUUUAGCCCAGCAUAUUAUGCACAGUCAGUGAUUCCAAAGCUGUGUGUGUCUCCCUCCGGGCUUGAAAAGCAUUCCUCCUCUUUAACAGAGAACGUAACUGGGACUGUGUAUUGCCUCGAGGCCCUUGAGAUGGGGGGGGGGGUGUAUGUCAAUAAAUCUUACCAAUAAGUCAAUUGCACUAAGCCACCGUUUGUUUUAUUAUGGUUUAGUGAACCACAGUUGGCUAGGUGUGGCUUCUGCACAAUGCCAUCCACCUUAUUUCACAAGCCACUGUGAUUUAGUUCACGCAACCCAGUGCUACGACCCAUUCCCAUUACAGCUCAGCAAAAUGUGUGAACGUGUCAAUGAACUCCAUGAGCUUGCUAAGGACGCUCUCUUCUUUCUUUCUGCCUUUGCCCUCCCUUGCACUCCCUUGCACACCUCUCGGUCAUGGCACACCCUUAGAAAGCAAUUCAAAUACUCUGUGCAGAUAAGUUCUUCUGUUAUUCUUCAUGCUUUUCAGCAGCGAAGAAUUCUUGAUGAGCACUUCCAGAACAUACAAAAGGGAGCAUUUAUUUACACAAAUUACAAGCUGAGUGGGUCAGCCUCUUUUCCCACUCAUCAUCCUUAGAGGCUGCUUAAAAGUAGCGCUGUCCCCCCAGCCUAUUCAAAAUAACAAGCGCCCCCCCCCGCUCCCUCCCUCCUUCCCACCAUUUCUGCUUCCUUCCUUGACUCCUUCCAGCUCCAAGAGGCUGCUGCCCCACUGACUCCACCCCAUCCAGGCAGGCUUUCUUCUGUGGCUGUUCACCAGCAGCCAUCAACACCCCCAACUGACAUUCUAGCAUGGCUUAUUAUUAAAUAAUAAUAAUUUAUUAUUAAAGAAACGUCUCUAUCAGCCAGCAGAGAUAAGAGUUUAUUGCCUCACACUCCACUCAACAACACUUCCGUUAAGUUGUUAUAUGCCUUGUUACAGAUAAGGGCAAGUUUUAGAUAUGGGUCACCUUAUUCUUUAUUGCAUUAAAAAGAUUUUUUUCCCUUUUUGAUGACCCCAAGGGUCUGGAGAGGGGGAGCAUGCUUUUUGAUUGAUCGCAAAAGCUUGGAGAGCAAACAGUUAGCUACAGCUCAGUAAGAUCUUCCAGCUGCGGGGGGCCAAACGCAACAUUAGCUCAGGGAGUCAUUUGCAAGCAGGAGCUCUUCUGCGCUGGCAACUGACAGGCAGCUGCCAGAUACAUCACCAACGCGGUGAUCCACUGCCUGGGAGUGCUGAAAUGCUUCAGCACAUCUGCAGCCUCCCUACAAUGGGCUCCCAUUGCAACCCUUGGCUUCCAACUUUGGGAUGGUUUGCAGAUCUUGACAGGGGGGCCCAACAUCCCAAAGGGCAGCAAUUUCCACAGCCCCGAUGGCUUGCAGCUGCUCGGAGAAGCUCUUUUGACACAUGCUAAACCACAAACUGUGCUUAACCAACCACCCACAGCUGUGUUCCUACUGUAGGAUGCACCAAAAUAAGCAGAUCGCGUUUGGGUUCACUACGUCAGCGUAGUUUUCUUGGUUUUCACUUUACCACUGUGGUUUGUGAACCCAGGCUCAUGGUUUACAUGCUGUGCUAACACAGCCCAAAGAAGGGGGGCACAGCUUCAGAUCUGCUUGGGAGGAGAAAAGUUUGGAGUGGGAAGAAAG